RNAcentral lists this non-coding RNA (110 nucleotides) under Sulfobacillus thermosulfidooxidans. Its description in RNAcentral is "SAM-I sequence". It matches the Rfam family "SAM riboswitch aptamer (S box leader)". Rfam says of the family: The SAM riboswitch is found upstream of a number of genes which code for proteins involved in methionine or cysteine biosynthesis in Gram-positive bacteria. The SAM riboswitch acts at the level of transcription termination control. The predicted structure consists of a complex stem-loop region followed by a single stem loop terminator region. The record is from RNAcentral. Lineage: Bacteria; Bacillati; Bacillota; Clostridia; Eubacteriales; Clostridiales Family XVII. Incertae Sedis.
CUCUUAUCGAGAGCGGCGGAGGGACUGGCCCAAUGAAGCCCGGCAACCCCCAGAUGACUAUCGUCUGGUUGGUGCUAAUUCCUGAAAGACCAUGUCUUUCAAGAUGAGAG